GUUAUUUAUUUUAUUUUUUGUUUUUAGUAAUAAAAAUAUCAUUUAUAAUAUAUUAAUUUUAAAUCUUUUCAAAAAUAUAAAAUAACAUUUUUCUAUUAAAAGUUAUUUAUGAAGCAAUAAUAAAAUUAGUACAAAUACUUAUUGAAUUACAAGCAUUUUAAUACCUACUGUGAUCAUGUAGCGUAACUGAAGUAUUCAUGAUAAAUAUACACCAGUACAAUUAUUACUCACUCAUCCUACAUACUUUUUUUAUGCACCAAAAUGCUUGUAGCUCAAUAAGUUCUAGUUCUAAUAUUGUUAUUAAGACAUGUUCCACCCGAAUACUAUAUAAAACAUAUGCUACUGUUAUAUUUUACAUAAACAAUUUGAUAGAUGUGACCCAAUGAAGAAUGAAUCUAAAUACUUGAUUUUAAAUAUACAUUAUUAUCUAAAACAACCUUUUAUACAAAAAAUAUAAACAAAAUAUUACAUUUUUUCUCCCUAAUAAUAUUGUAGUAUAUUGUUUUAACUCUAUAAAAUAAUUGAUAAUAAGUUAUAGCUUCAAUACGAAGCUGAGAAGUUUUUUAUUUUACUAUGAUGUGUUUUUUUUUAUUAUUAUUAUUUUUUUUUGUGUGUGUGUGUGUGUGUGUGUCUGUUACCACUUAACCUCAGCUCUCACUGGACCGAUUCUUAUGAAUAAUACGUCCAAAGAUCACAAAUCGUAUCUAGUCGAAGACAUUACCCUUAAAAAUUGAAAUACAUUCCCUCGUUCCCCGCAAAUGGGGGAAAUAUCCAAAAAAAUUACAAAUUUAAAAAUCGCUAAUUUUCGAAAUUUUUUCACUUUUUUUUCUUUUAAAUAUGCUAUAUUUGUGAUAAAAUUCUGAGUUUUGUAUUUUAUUUUAUUUUAAAAUACCUGACAAGGGGAGUACACUUAUUUUCAUAAAUAUUAUAUAAAUCAAAUUAAUAUUUCAUUCGACCGAAGCGAAGUACAGUUGCCGAGUCGGAAACACUUGUGUCUUAUGCGUUUAGGGUUCAAGGUUCCAACCCGCGUAUGGUUAGGAAUUUUUUGUGACUAUCAUUUAUUUUGUUUGCUAACAUGUUGCUAUAUAAAUAAUUUCUAAAAAUAUGAUUGUUAAUUUCUUCUGAAUUAACAAUGGAUUUUUACAAUUAUAAUCAAAUUUUAUAAUAUGCUCUUUUGAGUAGAUCUUUUAACAACUUUUUUUGAUUGGUUUUUUUAGUUAAAGUAAAUCAUUAAAAUUAAUUCAGUUAAUAAAGCAUUUAUAGAAUCUUUUUAAACACCAAAAGUUACUAGGAAAUGAUUACUAUUAUUUCUAUUUAAGUUAUCUAUUACUAUAAAAAUCCAAAAAAAUAUUGAUUUUUUCUGAUAAAUUUACUAUAAAUAGUAAUCAUAAAAUUUCUUGACUGCAUAUUAAUCUUAACAAUACAAUUUUUUUUAAUUCUUAUAAAAUUUUCUAUUUAUUGAUGUCAAUUUCAAAGUUGCAAGUUGAGCUAAAAGUUAUUAUAAUAACUAAAAAUAAAGUUAAUACCAUCACCGUAAAGACAUUAUAAAUAAAAGUACUUUGUUUCUAGUUAUUACUUGAUUAGUGUAGUUAAUGUGUUUAAACUACUCUUACCUGAUAUAUCUUGGCUGCAAAUCAAGUUCCACGGUGUAGAGAGGAGAAGAAGUGAUUUAGACUUAUUAGAUAUUAAAUAAGAAGAAAAAUAGUUUGUUAUUAAGAAUGAAGACACUAAGUCACAAUAUAAAAUAGAUAAAAAGCUGCAAAGUAAAAUGGAGCAAAGCCGAGCACUUAAGUCUGAACGCCAGAAGAAAAAAAAAAGAAGUGACUCUUUGACGGAUGUCAAAUGACUGAUCAGAUCCCAGAGGGCUCUUAGGUCUGUUAUAAUAAAUCAUAGUAAUAAAAUUUUAUGUGAUAAUAUAAGUCACUUAAUUGAAAGAAAGGUGUCCUUUACAACGCGUUACGAGGAAUGAUUUGUAUUGUAUCAUUGUUUGUGUAGGAUAUGUAAACAAACAAUGACAAGUAAUGUGUUGUAUAUUGCUAAUCCAUACGCGAAACUGUAUGAGUUCAUUUAUGGCUUAUUCGGCAAGGACCAUACAAACAAAAUUAAACUAUUACACGCCUCAACGGCGUCGCUAUGUUAUUGGUAAUCGUUGAUGAGAUGUAAGAAUUUAAUUAAGUAACAAAAGGAUAUUACAUUAUGAUAAUAAAUACAUUUUUUUUUAUUAUAAACUUUCACAAAAAUGAACUUUAAAGGAUUAAAAAAAUAGGUUAAAUAUGUCAUUUUCCUUAUUUUUAAUAUAUUAAAAAUCAAAAUCCGUAUUAAUUUAAAACAAUAAUUUUUUUAUAUGUAAUUACUUAUUUUUUAAUAAUAAGUAAUAAUAUUAAAACUUAGAAGUGAUAGAAAAAGUCUAAUUACACAUUUGAAAACUGUGCAAAAAGUUGAUUUAGAAAAGUAUAUUUUUGUUUCUAAUGAAAGUUCCUUGUAGUCCAGUGUAUAAAACUUAUAACUUUGUUAUAAUAAACAAAAAAAUUUUAUUGAAAAGUAUUGCAUCAAGCCCUUUAAAUUUUUAUACGCAUUAAAAGUAAAGAAAUAUACAACUACUUUAUUAUUUUUAUAAUAUCUCCGUAAAAAUUACAAUAUUAAAUUAUUGAAUAUCAAUUUCAUACUAAAUUUAAUUACUUUAAUUAUUAUUUAUUCAUAUAUUAUAAUAAUAAAUCAAAUAACUAAUCGGAAUAAAAUUAAGGGAAUAAGAGUUAUUGUUGCUUUUGAAAUAUUCUACCAAUUUCUUAAAAUUAAACACUAUCUACAGAUUUGCAUCGAAGCAUUUCUUAUGAUAGUGAUUUUAAUCAUUGUCAGAAAUCAUCUAUACUUGUCCCAACUAUACCACAUCCAUACUGUGUCGUGACUACUGUGCUUAGUGACGUGAUAUCGAAAGAAAAGUAUUGAUACUUUUACUUGGUAUCGAAUCGAAUUAAAAUACCGAUAUGAGUAAAAUAUCGAAACAAAUGGACCGAUAUGAGUAAGUAUCGAUAGCUGGAUACAAGUAUACUGUAUACAACGUUGCAAACUGCAGGCUUUAGUUUUCAUUUAUUUUAGGGUGACCAUACGUCCUGUUAUAUACAGGUUGUCCUUUAUUUUAGUGUUGUAUCCUGUCGUCCUGAUGACCGUCUCUCAAAACGCUUUUUGUCCUGUUUUCUAAUUAUUUUAAUAAGUUACAAAGAUGUAUAUUAUAUUAUAUACAUACAUUAUAGGUAUAUUAUUACAUAACUCGAUAUACCCCAAAUUAUCAAAUUUAAUAAGUUCUUCAGAAAAAGAAUACGAAUCAAAAUGCAACCAAAAAAAAAAUUAUUAUUAAUGUAAAUGAAAAAGUUUGUUAAUUUAUUAUUAUUAAUUUUUUAUGUAUUAGUUUUAUGACUGCUUUAUAGGAACAGAAAUAAUGUUAAACACAUAUUAAAUGCUUUUAGGUAUAUUAAAUUAAGUUUUUUAUUAUGAUUUAAAAUAAACAAAAUAAUCAAAAACAUAAUAGUGAAACUAUUUAUGUACAAUACAAAAUACAAAUUAUAUAAUAUUAUUCAAAAAUUUAUUUUUUAUAACUUAAAACCAUUGAUCUUUGAGUAGAUCUGCAAAGAGUAAAUUUUUUUCUAAACGAGAACCUGUUAGACGGUUUCUUGUUUUUGUCAUAAUUUUUCCGGCUUUUAAAAACAGUCUUUCGCAUGGAACCGAUGUUACAACCAUAGUGAAAGAUAUCCUUGAUUGUUUAUAUAACAUGGGAAAGACUGUUUUCAUAUCUUCCCAAAGUUCUAAAGGAUUUGACUUCAGUGGAGACACGGGGUUUUCUAUGGUGAGCCCAAAUAACAUAACUCUCCACAUUUUCUUUAGAUGUUGUCAUUUCUCCUUCUGAUUCGCUAGAUGAUAUAUCUGGUUUUGAUAGUCUUCGAAGUUCUGCCAUUGCACUUGAACUAGCAAUUGGAUCGCUAAAGUAAAGAUUUUUGAUUCUUGGAUCCAAAAUUGUGGCAAUAGCAAUCGGGUUUACUUACUUAAUCAGUCUAAAUCUUCUAAUUAUUUCCGUAUAAUACGAAAAUAAUUUGACUUAUCUUUAAUUUCGAUCAACACAUCAAAUCUUGGUUGAAUUUGGGCCAGUUGUAUUAAUAGGCAGUUAAUCACGGGGAUCACUUUUGAGAUAGUAAUAUAAUUUUCUCCAGAGGAUUCUUUUGUGACAUACUUUAAUGGUUGUAAUAAUUCAAUUAAUUGUCGGAGGAUAUCUAUUUCUAUGGCGGUUGGCUUACUAGGUGCAGUUAUAUCAUUGAGUAACAUUGCACUAAGAAAAGACACCAUUUCUAUAAAUCUACUUAUCAUAAAAAAAACAGAAUUCCACCUUGUUUGAACAUCUAAUAUUAAUUUUUUAAAUUAUCCUUCAGGAACUCCAGCUUCAGACUGUUUUCUUCUCAAUUGAUCACUGUGGAUGACGCUGUUUUUCACCUAAUUUACAAUUUCUCUUACUUUGGAAAUUAUAGGUUUUAUAUUUUUUUGACCAACUGUAUGUGUUGACACUUGGUUAAUGGUAUGUGCAAAGCAUGGGGUAUGCCUACUCUUGCCGAAUGUUUUAUUAACGGCAGCAACUACAUUUGCGACAUUGUCCGUUACAACAGUAACAAUUUUACUUUUAUCAAUUUGCCAGUCUAAAAGAAUUUUAUCUAGAAUCUAACUGAUAUAUUGGCCAGAAUGUCUUUCCUUCAGUUCUGCAACUGCUAAACAAUGUGAUUUGAUAGAUAUAUCCUUGAGGUAGUGUACUAUCACACCAAGGAAACUUUUUUCAUUCAUCGUCUCAGUCCAUGAAUCCAAUGUAAUACACACGUGUGGUGCUGCCAACAAACAACCUUUUAAUAUUUCUUUUGUGACCUCAUAUUUAUUAUCAAGAGCAUUUUUCAACGUUGUAACCGAAGGAAUUUGAUAUGACGUCAAAACAGGAUUAAUUACAGGUAUCGAAGCUAAUUUCAUUUGUUGACAAG
This is a long non-coding RNA of Daktulosphaira vitifoliae (grape phylloxera), 5009 nucleotides long. RefSeq lists it as uncharacterized. The record is from RefSeq and is a predicted model, not a curated record. Lineage: Eukaryota; Metazoa; Arthropoda; Insecta; Hemiptera; Phylloxeridae. The transcript is spliced from 2 exons.